Molecule: ribosomal RNA, 497 nt
Filed under: uncultured bacterium
Lineage: Bacteria
Description: partial 16S ribosomal RNA
Rfam family: Bacterial small subunit ribosomal RNA
Source: RNAcentral
GAUGAACGCUGGCGGCGUGCCUAAUACAUGCAAGUCGAGCGAACAGACGAGGAGCUUGCUCCUCUGACGUUAGCGGCGGACGGGUGAGUAACACGUGGAUAACCUACCUAUAAGACUGGGAUAACUUCGGGAAACCGGAGCUAAUACCGGAUAAUAUUUUGAACCGCAUGGUUCAAUAGUGAAAGACGGUCUUGCUGUCACUUAUAGAUGGAUCCGCGCCGCAUUAGCUAGUUGGUAAGGUAACGGCUUACCAAGGCAACGAUGCGUAGCCGACCUGAGAGGGUGAUCGGCCACACUGGAACUGAGACACGGUCCAGACUCCUACGGGAGGCAGCAGUAGGGAAUCUUCCGCAAUGGGCGAAAGCCUGACGGAGCAACGCCGCGUGAGUGAUGAAGGUCUUCGGAUCGUAAAACUCUGUUAUUAGGGAAGAACAAAUGUGUAAGUAACUGUGCACGUCUUGACGGUACCUAAUCAGAAAGCCACGGCUAACUACGUG